Molecule: long non-coding RNA, 324 nt
Organism: Malaclemys terrapin pileata
Lineage: Eukaryota; Metazoa; Chordata; Testudines; Emydidae
Exons: 2
Source: RefSeq, a predicted model, not a curated record
CCUGCAGAGGAGCUGCCUCGUGAGGACUGGCCAAAAUUCCCCGGACCACUGGCUGACCAAGAUGCUGAGGAGUUGCCAGGCUGCUGCCUGAGGACUGGCCAGAUCUCCCUGAGAUGACAGAUGCAGCCAUGAGUUUUGGAACCAUGACCAUCAAAUCAGCUAUCCAGGAAACAAAAAGAAAUCAAGAUUUGGGGCUUUGCCAGCAGAAAAGGACAACCUCGCUUUUUCGAAGGAAAUACAAAAAUCAAAACAUAUCAAGAGAAAGAAACAGAGGCAAAAUUGUCCCUCCACUGAGUUCUUCAAAAUAAAAUCAAUCACAGCUCA